RNAcentral lists this ribosomal RNA (480 nucleotides) under uncultured bacterium. RNAcentral describes it as "partial 16S ribosomal RNA". It matches the Rfam family "Bacterial small subunit ribosomal RNA", at positions 28 to 506 of the family's 1533-position model. The record is from RNAcentral.
GACGAACGUUGGCGGCGUGCUUAAUACAUGCAAGUCAACUGAAGCAGUGGUAGCAAUAUCGCUGUGGAGGUGGCGCACGGGUGAGUAACACGUAGGUAAUCUGCCUUCAGGUCUGGCAUAACUCCGGGAAACCGGGGCUAAUAGCAGAUGAUGCAGCGGCUCGACAUCGAGACAGUUGUUAAAGCUAUGGCGCCUGAAGAUGAGCCUGCGUCUGAUUAGCUAGUUGGCGGGGUAACGGCCCACCAAGGCAACGAUCAGUAGCUGGUCUGAGAGGAUGAUCAGCCACACUGGAACUGAGACACGGUCCAGACUCCUACGGGAGGCAGCAGUAAGGAAUAUUGCUCAAUGGGAGAAAUCCUGAAGCAGCAACGCCGCGUGAGGGACGAAGGGCUUGUGCUUGUAAACCUCUGUAGUGAGAGAAAAAAAUCCCAAUCUUUGGGACAUGAUGGUAUCUCAAAAGUAAGCCCCGGCUAACUACGU